CCUGGCGGCACUAGCGCGGUGGUCCCACCUGACCCCAUGCCGAACUCAGAAGUGAAACGCCGUAGCGGCUAUGGUAGUGAGGGCACGCCG
Molecule: ribosomal RNA, 90 nt
Filed under: Salmonella enterica subsp. enterica serovar Kentucky
Lineage: Bacteria; Pseudomonadati; Pseudomonadota; Gammaproteobacteria; Enterobacterales; Enterobacteriaceae
Source: RNAcentral